UGAUGAGAUGCACUCUGGAGAAACUGG
RNAcentral lists this non-coding RNA (27 nucleotides) under Mus musculus (house mouse). Lineage: Eukaryota; Metazoa; Chordata; Mammalia; Rodentia; Muridae. The record is from RNAcentral.